GUCCUGGCCCUAAACGAUGGGUACUAGGUAGUAGACUUGACAUGGGUUUACUGCCGGAGCUAAAGUGCUAAGUACCCCGCCUGGGAGUAUGGUCGCAAGGCUGAAACUCAAAGGAAUUGACGGGGCUCACACAAGCGGUGGAGCAUGUGGCUUAAUUCGAGGCUACGCGAAGAACCUUAUCCUAGGCUUGACAUGUGCGAAAGCGCCUGCAGGUAGGACCCGGAAACGGGACGAACGGUAUCCAACCCGGAAGCAGGUACAGGUGCUGCAUGGCUGUCGU
RNAcentral lists this ribosomal RNA (280 nucleotides) under uncultured bacterium. RNAcentral's name for it is "partial 16S ribosomal RNA". It matches the Rfam family "Bacterial small subunit ribosomal RNA", at positions 793 to 1055 of the family's 1533-position model. The record is from RNAcentral.